GACGAACGCUGGCGGCGUGCCUAACACAUGCAAGUCGAACGAGUGGCGGACGGGUGAGUAAUGUCUGGGAAACUGCCUGAUGGAGGGGGAUAACUACUGGAAACGGUAGCUAAUACCGCAUACCAUCAGAUGUGCCCAGAUGGGCGUGGCUUGUUGGGGGGGUAACGGCUCACCAAGGCGACGAUCCCUAGCUGGUCUGAGAGGAUGACCAGCCACACGGGAACUGAGCAACGGUCCAGACUCCUACGGGAGGCAGCAGUGGGGAAGAUUGCACAAUGGGCGCAAGCCUGAUGCAGCCAUGCCGCGUGGAUGAAGAAGGCCUUCGGGUUGUAAAGUACUUUCGGCGGGGAGGCGUUACCCGCAGAAGAAGCACCGGCUAACUCCGUGCCAGCAGCCGCGGUAAUUC
Molecule: ribosomal RNA, 406 nt
Filed under: uncultured bacterium
Lineage: Bacteria
Description: partial 16S ribosomal RNA
Rfam family: Bacterial small subunit ribosomal RNA
Source: RNAcentral